Molecule: long non-coding RNA, 338 nt
Organism: Xiphophorus hellerii (green swordtail)
Lineage: Eukaryota; Metazoa; Chordata; Actinopteri; Cyprinodontiformes; Poeciliidae
Exons: 2
Source: RefSeq, a predicted model, not a curated record
AACACGGUGUCCGCACAUGCUGCAACAGAAGAUGGAAGCUUGAGGGGCCAACGUCAUUUCAAACAGACAGGAACGGCGGGGCAGCUUUUCAUUCGUAACGCAAAAGGGGUUUCGCUAUGGAGACGAUAAGCAAAUUCAGUCUAGGCCAGGAGAAAUGGACUGGAGAGACAAGAGGACAGUCUGUAAAUGUUAGGAUGGAAAAAGACGUCUAAAAACAUUGGCCUGAAGCUUUGAAGAUCAAUUUGAAAGUUUUUUAAAAAACUGCAAGAAUAAUAAGUCGUAUUCAGCGGCAAGUCAUGCAUUUCAAAAACCAAUAAAUCUGUCAUUUCAGAAACAAA